Molecule: ribosomal RNA, 247 nt
Filed under: uncultured bacterium
Lineage: Bacteria
Description: partial 16S ribosomal RNA
Rfam family: Bacterial small subunit ribosomal RNA
Source: RNAcentral
AUACAGAGACCACAAGCGUUACUCGGAUUCACUGGGCGUAAAGGGAGUGUAGGUGGGCAGGUGUGUCGGGCGUGAAAUCUCGGGGCUUAACUUCGAAAUUGCGUUCGAAACUACCUGUCUAGAGUUUUGGAGAGGUUAGCGGAAUUCCAGGUGUAGCGGUGAAAUGCGUAGAUAUCUGGAGGAACACCAAAGGCGAAGGCAGCUAACUGGACAAAUACUGACACUGAGGCUCGAAAGCGUGGGGAGC